ACGGAGGAUCCGAGCGUUAUCCGGAUUUACUGGGUUUAAAGGGUGCGUAGGCGGGCCCCUAAGUCAGCGGUGAAAGUCUGCGGCUCAACCGUAGGAUUGCCGUUGAUACUGGGGGCCUUGGAUUCGGUCGAGGCGGGCGGAAUGCGACAUGUAGCGGUGAAAUGCUUAGAUAUGUCGCAGAACGCCGAUUGCGAAGGCAGCUCGCCGGGCCGUUAUCGACGCUGAGGCACGAAAGCGUGGGGAUCGAACAGGAUUAGAUACCCUGGUAGUCCACGCCGUAAACGAUGAUGGCUGGAUGUUGGCGAUACACCGUCAGCGUCUGAGGGAAACCAUUAAGCCAUCCACCUGGGGAGUACGGCCGCAAGGCUG
RNAcentral lists this ribosomal RNA (369 nucleotides) under uncultured bacterium. RNAcentral's name for it is "bacterial SSU rRNA". It matches the Rfam family "Bacterial small subunit ribosomal RNA", at positions 525 to 896 of the family's 1533-position model. The record is from RNAcentral.